This is a long non-coding RNA of Clupea harengus (Atlantic herring), 1557 nucleotides long. NCBI's taxonomy places the organism in Eukaryota, Metazoa, Chordata, Actinopteri, Clupeiformes, Clupeidae. The record is from Ensembl.
UGCCCCUUGUCCCUCCACAUCCAUAGUUCCCCACCUUUUCCCGCUUCAGGGCAGGUUCCUAAUCUGUGUCAGUGUCCCCCUCGGACCUCGUGGUACCCCCACGCUAGGAGUGGCCAAUUUCAACUUUCAAAAAUUGCCUGCACCAAAUGCCUCUGGGGGAUGCCCUACCCUGUCUCCACCUGUCAAAUACAAUCCGAUCAAACUUUAUUUGCCAAUUGCAAGGGACAGAAGUCAGCUGACAAUUGAAAUGCUUAUUAGUUCACUGGUUAGAUAAAGUGGAAAUUAUUACAUAAUUCUGAGCGACUAAAUAAACACCUUAAAUAAAGAAACGAUGCGGUUAAGUUGUGUGUUGUGCAAAAGGGUUGAUUUAGGGGAAAUGAGUGUGAAAUAAUGGUUGGUUUGGCAAGAGCUGUGUUACUGUCACUUUAACAAUGUACAGUUUGUUGUGGUGUGAGACUCUCAGGUCAGGAUAUUUGCUUGUCUGAGCAGCUGAGCCUUAGCAUGGAGAGAAUCUGUAGGAGGUAUUCAGAGCACGUCUUACUGUGCUACCCUCGUCAAGUGUGAAGUUAACUAGUUGACAUCGUAUGGAUACUUGUAUGUGUAUGUUGCAUUUGGAGUGUCUGAAGGAAUGUAACUGAACUGGUAUACACCUCUACUUUCUGUCUCGUCCCUUCUUUCUAUCUGAUUCUCACUCCAUUUUUUUCUCUCACUAUCUGAGCACCUUGAACCUGUCCAUCUCCUCCUCUCCUCAUUUUCCUGGCAGAAGGGGGGGAGACAUCCUGUCUGUAUCAUCUUUGGGUGGACACAGCCUAUUUCAACUUUCAAUGCUGCUGUUUUUUUUUUUAUCAAGAAAAAGACCAGAUAAUCAGAGUGUGAGAUGACUAUGACCAACAUUCCUUACUUCAUUCUUUUGCACCGUAAGAAGGUGACGCUCACUCCCGUUGAAAUAAGUUCACGCAUUCGCUGUGUCACACAUGCUUCCCCUGCAGCAUAACCUUCUGAAUAGCAUUGGCAGUGAAGCACAAAUGAAUACCGUCAGUCUAUAUCGAUUGACAGGCACAGUACAUGUUUGAGUGCUAUGAGUGAGUAGUAAAACUAGCUGCUCUGUAACGUAAUAUGGUGAUAUUAUAUAACAACACAGUCUACAGACUAAGCCUGCUGCAUUCCUUGGAAACACAGUUGUUAGUAAAGUUCCCUUGGCUGUAGUGUCCUAGCCCCUAAAAUAGCAUGUGGGCAUUUUCAUGUAGUGGUCAGGGGACUUCAACUGUCAAAAUGAGAUUCUCUUACUCAGUUGAACAGAGAGUGACUCGUCAAAACCUAACCAGGCAGUGCAUUGAAGACGCGUCUGUCUAUAUGUUGCAUUAGUAGGCUCUUAUGUAGUAGUUGGAUAUGACUAUGGUCUAGAUCCGGGAAUGUUCAGUACAGCUGAGCAAUGGCCAGCAUCACACUGGACCAACCACAGCUGACGGAUAUGGGCUGGUGCUGAGGACAGCGAUGUGCCAGACAGAUGGACAGUGACGAAAGAACGCGAGAUAAAGAUGUCACCGGAGCAGAGAG